AGAAGACGCCGUCGCAGCCGAUCUAGAAGCAGGAGCCGCUCUAGAUCCCGCAGUCGGUCCCGUUACAGUCGAUCCAAAUCCCGGUCUCGCACACGCUCUCGGUCUCGGUCCACCUCAAAGUCCAGGUCUGCCAGGAGAUCCAAGUCAAAGUCCUCGUCUGUCUCCAGAUCCCGGUCCAGGUCAAGAUCCCGGUCCAGGUCUAGAAGCCCUCCCCCUGCCUCAAAGAGGGAAUCCAACUCUAGAUCCAGGUCUAAGAGUCCUCCCAAGUCUCCGGAAGAAGAAGGAGCUGUAUCCUCCUAGGAACAUGGUAAUGUACCUCGGAAUGAGCACGUUGCAUGUUACUUUAUUAUAGCACUUAGGUGGGGUGUUGGGUAGUUCUUAGAAUAUUAAUGGCCUGAACCAAGCGAAUCCUAACGGGGCACAUUGUUAGCUGUUUUUUUUUCUUGAGCAGGGCUUUUUGGUUAUUGGUUUAGGUAAAUUAAUACUGAAGGGCUUUCUACAGAGUAUUUUUCUUUUCUUACAGAGCAAAUGUUUUAUUGAGAGAUUAAUGGCUUGGUUUUAAUAAAAUAUUGUAUGAGACACAACCUAUGAUGAAAAUGACUAUUUCUUACUGUAUUUAUCCAACAUCUGCAUUUUCCCCUUUAAAGCUGCGGUCUCCUGUUUGCUAAAAGAAUAUUGGCCAGUAUUGCAGAUUUUAACUGAUUUGGCUGAUCCUCCAGGGACCAGUUUCUGUGGGCGUGUAUUGGAGCAGGUUUGUCUUUAAAUGUUAAAGAUACACUAUCCUUUUAUAAUGGAAGAUCGAUUCAGUGGCCGUUAUACUGACUGGAGGUAAUAACUGUUCUAGAAGUGGCAAAUUCCUUGCAACGAGAAAACCGUGGAAACUAGUUUUUCCUCAAGUCAACAUCUUGAAGAGGCGUCUAAGGAUACACCGGGUGGGGAAAGGAUAGUGUGUCUUUAACCCUUCAAACUGUUUGGUCCUAUUUUUAAAAGGAAAAGGCCUAAGCUAGCUCUGAAGUUAGAUAAUUGUAGCAAAACUAGUCACACUUUGUUUUGAAUGCUAAUUAGAGUUUAGUUAAGUAUUUAUGAAGAAGUACUAGUUUUAUAACUUUUAUAUAACUCUAAAUAACUUAUUGUUGAACAGGCUGAAUUGAAGUUAAUGGUGGCUUGAUCUACAGCCUGAUGCUUAACUCUUCUUUGUAACUAAAUACUUUGACAGAACCUUACAUUUGGCCUCUGAAGUGAAGCAACAUAUGGGGGGGAGGUGGAACACUAGGGCAAUUCCUAAAAAUUAAAUUUAAUUAGGGAAAGCCAGUUGAAACACAACUAGAAGUAUACCUGAAGUCAUCCACACAGCCAAAAGCGACAAGGUAGAAACCUGGCUGAACUUUUCUUUCUUCAAACCUAGAUGCAUCAGAUAAAUGAGAAUCCACAUAAAGGACGCCUUUGGGGGGAAAAGAUCGCUUGAGUCUUCAGCCCAUUUGGAGAGACCCCUGGCACGAGCAACCAGCUGUUGAAAAGGCGCAGUUGUGUAGCAGUUCAGUAAUGCUGGUUAGCUGUUAAGGUGGCGUGUUGCAGUGCAGAGUGCUUGGCUGUUUCCUGUUUUCUCCUGAUUGCUCCUGUGUAACGAUGCCUUGUCGUGCAGAAACAAAUGGCUGUCCAGUUAAUUAAAAUGCCUGACAACUGCACUUCCAGUCACCCGGGCCUUGCGUAAAAAUAAUGGAGCAUACAGUGAGCACAUCUAGCUGAUGGUAUACACACCUUAUUUUUUCCAGAAUGGUAAAACUUACCGACCUACAUACAUGAACUUACAUAUGAGAAAUGUAAUGUUAAGAAAAGAAAUGGUUCAUUCCUUUGUAAGUACUGAUUGGUGUAUCUUUUGCUUAAGACAUUCUGUACUAUACCCACUGUCUCUGUAGUUAAUAUUAAACAUUUUUCUGUGUUAACUUUUCUCAACUUAAUGUCUGAGUCAGCUUAUUUUUAGCUUGAAAAGAUUUCUGCAAUUAUACUGUCAAUGUUUUAACUUCUAUAUAGUAACUGAAUGCAUUCUACUGCUGAUAAAUUUUAUCCACUGGGGUUGCUUUGAAAUUACUACGGGCAAACUUGACUAUUAUUGUGACUAACCCAAAUGUUGUAUGGCAAGUAUUGCACACCAGAAAAUAAACCCAGAAUCAGAGAGGCCUGUUGGACGUUGUUACAGAAGAUACACACUGAGCAGUACUAAUUGCAUUUGCUGUGUGCUUGCCCUGACUCAACAGGCUGCUGCUUGGUGGGAGCUAAUCUUAGUGAUGAUGAUUUUUUCUUAAUUUUGAUACCAAAUGAACUGUAACUUCAACCAUCAUAUGUCAAGGGUUACUGUAAUGCCUUGUUAACUUUAUGCAUGUAUGUUAAACGGGAAUGGAAACAUCUGAAUACUUGCAAUAUGGCUUGAUUGAGGAUUAAAAGUACUUUUCUACAAA
Pterocles gutturalis (yellow-throated sandgrouse) is the source of this 2456-nucleotide long non-coding RNA. RefSeq lists it as uncharacterized. The record is from RefSeq and is a predicted model, not a curated record. The transcript is spliced from 2 exons. NCBI's taxonomy places the organism in Eukaryota, Metazoa, Chordata, Aves, Pterocliformes, Pteroclidae.